AUUGGGGUGGGAAAGUGGGAAAGGAGCAGGAAAAUUCCAAAUCUCUGGGUUGGGAAAGGAAAAACUGGGAAUGCGGCUGGAAUUGGGGAGGAAAAGUGGGAAUGCAGCUGGAAUUGGGGUGAAAAACUGGGAAAAGAGCGGGGAAAAAUGGGAAAAGAACUGGAAAAACUAGGAAAGGAGUGGGAAAAUCCCAAAUCCUUGGGUUGGGAACAGGAAAAACUGGGAAUGCAGCUGGGAUUGGGAUGAAAAAUGGGAAAGAAGCUGGAUUUGGGUUGAAAAACUGGGAAAGAAGUUGGGAUUGGGGUGGAAAAGUGGGAAAGAAGCUGGAAUUGGGGUGGAAAAGUGGGAAAAGCAGCGGGAAAAUCCCAAAUCCUUGGGUUGGGAAUGGGAAAAUCUGGGAAUGCAGCUGGAAUUGGGGUGAAAAACUGGGAAAAGAGCCAGAAAAACUGGGAAAAGAACAGGAAAAACUGGGAAAGCAGUGGGAAAAUUCCAAAUCUCUGGGUUGGGAAAGGAAAAACUGGGAAUGCAGCUGGGAUUGGGGCAGAAAAGUGGGAUUGCAGCUGGGAUUGGGGUGGAAAAAUGGGAAAGGAGUGGGAAAAUUCCAAAUUCUUGGGUUGGGAACAGGAAAAACUGGGAAUGCAGCUGGAAUUAGGGUGAAAAAGUGGGAAAGAAGCUGGAAUUGGGGUGGAAAAGUGGGAAUGCAGCUGGAAUUGGAGUGAAAAAUGGGAAUGCAGCUGGAAUUGGGGUGAAAAUUGGGAAAGAAGCUGGAAUUGGGGUGAAAAACUGGGAAAAGAGCAGGGAAAACUGGGAAAGGAGUGGGAAAAUCCCAAAUCCUUGGGUGGGGAACAGGAAAAUCUGGGAAUGCAGCUGGAAUUGGGGUAAAUAAACAGGGAAGGAACAGGAAUUGGGGUGAAAAUCUGGGAAAGGAGUGGGGGAAAUCCCGGCUCCCUGGGCCGGGAAUUCCGGGAAUGGUUCUGGAAGGUUCCGUGUCCCCCCGCAGAGCUGCAGGAGCUGCAGGAAUUGCAGGAAUUGCAGGAAUUGCAGGAAUUGCAGGAAUUGCAGGAAUUGCGGGAGCUGCUCCGCGAGGCCGCCCAGGACACGGCGCCGGAGCCGCUGUGAGCGCAGGUCCUGGAGGGGGAGGCUCCGGCGCUUUCCCCUCCCCCCACUCCGCACAAGAUUCCAACCAAACCUCGGGAAUUUCGGGACUUUUCGUGGGAGAGAGAAAGAAAAACAAAGACAAAAAAACCCACAAAAAACGGAUUUUUCCCGAGUUUUUUUCCCGAUUUUUCCCGACUUUUCCCUCCUCCGAGGGGCAGGGAAGGAGCCGGGGCUGCGCCUUCCCGAUUUCCCGGGAAUUCCCGGCGGGAUCCGCGACACUACAGGGACCGGGAGCGGCCGGAAUUUGGGAAUUCCGUCCCUCAGAAUCCCGGGAUCGGCUGCUCCCACAGCCCCCACGCUUUAUUUAUUUUUAAUUUCCCUUCUUUUCCGGUGCUUUUGCUUUCUUUGGGAAUUUUUUCCCGUUUUUUCCCAUUUCAUCCCCCUUUUUUCCUGUUUUUUUUUCCCGUUUUUCCCAUUUUUUUCCCGUUUUUUCCCAUUUUUUUCCCGUUUUUUCCCGUUUUUUCCCGUUUUUUUCCCAUUUUUCCCCCGUCUCUAUUUAUCACCAGCCGCAGAAUUCCCGGGAAAACGGGGAAGGCGGAAAAGGGGAGAGGGAGGGGCUGGAAUUCCUCGUUCAUCCCAAAUUUCCGGAGUCGGAGUCGUGGAAAUCGGGGAUCUCCCAGCCCGGAAUUCCCAAAAUUCCCGGGGAAUUCCCGGGGGUCGCUUUUCUUUCUUAAGUGCAAUAAAAUCUUUCAGGGAGCUGAGGGGGCGGGGUUGGAAUUCCGGGGGGAUAUUCCCGAUAUUCCGGACGGGAAUUUUCGCUGGUGUUUCCGGGAUUUGGUUUUGGGGAUUUUGGGGGGUUUUUUUCCGUCUUUUCCCCGUUUUUGGGUGGUUUUUUUUCCAUCUUUUCCCGGUUUUUGGGUGGGUUUUUUUUCCGUCUUUUCCCAUUUUUUUGGUGGGUUUUUUUCCAUCUUUUCCCGGUUUUUGGGUGGUUUUUUUUUUCCGUCUUUUCCCGGUUUUUCGGUGUUUUUUUUCCGCCUUUUCCCAGUUUUUGGGUAGGUUUUUUUUCCAUCUUUUCCCGGUUUUUGGGUGGGUUUUUUUUCCAUCUUUUCCCGGUUUUUGGGUGUUUUGUUUGUUGUUUUUUUUCUUCCCUUUGUUUUCCCCGUGGUGGAAUUUUUGUUAACGGCUGUUUUCUAAUUAAAGGAAUUCUGCAUUCGUCACCCGCCCUCUUUUUGGGGGCUCAUCCCGGAAUUCCAGGAUUUUGGGAAUUUGUGGAUUUGGGGAGAGGGGUGGGGGGUGAAAUCCCCAAAAAAAAACCCGGAACAGGCGGGAAAUCCCAAAAAAUCCCAAAAUACAGAACCAGGGGUGGAGCUUGUUUUAUUGGGGGAUGAUCCUGGGGGGUUUUCCUGGGAAUUCUGGGUGGGAAUGACCCAAAUUUGGGGCUUUUUUGGGGAAUUUUCCUGAUUUUCCUUCCCAAAAAGGCCCAGAUUUUGGGAAGAGAUCCCAAAAAUGUCUCAGGGUCGGGGAUUUGUGGGAGGGAUCAAAAUUCCCUCGGAUUCUGGGAGCUUUGGGAUCAUCCCGGUCCCCUCCGAGCAUCUCCCAGGGACAAAAACUGGGAAUAAAAGCCCGGAAUUCCCUCUGGAUCAUCCCAGUCCCCUCCAGCACCUCCGAAAUCCGGGAUCAAAACCCCGGAAUUCCCAAUCCCCGUCUUUCCCGGCAUCUCCCAGGGACAAAAAACGGGAAUAAACCCAAAGAAUUCCCUCUGGAUCUUCCCAAACCCUUCCAACAUCUCCAAAAAUCAGGAAUAAAACCUGGGAAUUCCCUCUGGAUCAUCCCAAACCCCUCCAGCAUCUCCCAGGGACAAAAACUGGGAAUAAAACCUGGGAAUUCCCUCUGGAUCAUCCCAGUCCCCUUCUGGAUCGCAGUUCUGGGAUAAAACCCCAGAAUUCCCAAUCCCGGUUCCCCUAAAAGGAUCCCCAAAUCCUCCAGGAGCUCUCCCUGCCCUUGGGGGGGGUCCGGAUCCCAUUCCUGAUCCCAAAUCCUGAUCCCAAAUCCUGGUGCAAUUCCUGAUCCCAAAUCCUGGUCCAAUUCCUGAUCCCAAAUCCUGAUCCCAAAUCCUGGUCCAAUUCCUGAUCCCAAAUCCUGAUCCCAAAUCCUGGUGCAAUUCCUGAUCCCAAAUCCUGGUGCAAUUCCUGAUCCCAAAUCCCGAUCCCAAAUCCUGGUGCCAUUCCUGAUCCCAAAUCCCGAUCCCAAAUCCUGGGGCAAUUCCUGAUUCCAAAUCCCAAUCCCAAAUCCUGGUGCAAUUACUGAUCCCAAAAUCCUGAUCCCAAACCCUGGUGCACUUCCUGAUCCCAAGUCCUGGUGCCAUUCCUGAUCCCAAAUCCCAAAUCCUGAUGCCAUUCCCAAUCCCAAAUCCCGAUGCCAAUCCUGAUCUCAGAUCCCGGAUCCCA
Molecule: long non-coding RNA, 3545 nt
Filed under: Taeniopygia guttata (zebra finch)
Lineage: Eukaryota; Metazoa; Chordata; Aves; Passeriformes; Estrildidae
Description: lncRNA (ENSTGUG00000024712.1)
Source: RNAcentral